UUUGUCCUUGGUGUGAGCGAUUCAGAACAGCCUUUCUGGCAGGGUGAAGUGGUAAAGGUGGAAGAAGUGAGCUUCUCCCAGUGAAUCAUGUCACAACUGGAGGCCACAAGCCACAGAGGAGAGGAAGCCUGCAGUCUGAAGAUAAAGAGACGCAAGUCUAGUAAACGAUGCUAUCAUUUGGACAAGAAGAGGAAGUGGAGCCCAGUGGCAAGGCUGGAGAGGAGCCGGCAAGUGAGGACCACAGGGUGCCUGAAGCCAAAGGCGAAGAGGACAAAGAAUUUGAUGGAGAAGGACGGUUCUUUCAAAGACCUUCCCAUCUCUGACCCUCGCCUGAAUUAGGUCUCAUCUGAGGAGCUCAGGCCGAUGAAACUGCUGUCAUCUCCAAUGUGCUGGUCACCACGCUCUGAGGGUCUUGCCCCUGUAACUGAAUGUUCAGCCCGGAAGUGACGUACCUCUCUUCUGUUCACAACUUGUUGGCCAGAGCUGGCCACAUGUCAGUUUCUGUCCCCCAGUGUCACGGAGCCAGGAAAGUUUUCAAGAGACGUUUGCUCCUCUCCCAGUGUCCUUUCUGGUGCCCAGAAAGAGUCCUGGUUACUGAAGCCGAAAACACAUUCUCCCCUUGGUCACCAUCAGAAUCAAAUUACCGAGCAAGCGGGUGCCGACGAGGCCUGUCCCCACGCAAACUUAAUUAACAAAAUAGGUAAGUGACCCAGUUUCCUGCGGAGUGACAUUUCCUGAGGAGUGACACCUUGUGACAGGGACACGGCUUGGCAAGAUGUGCAGCUUGGAGCCUGGGAUCUGCCUGCCAUUUGGGCUCCUGUCGGAGUCACUGUCGAGACCAUUAAUCUUCAAUAUACGGCUGCACCUUCUCCUCGGGGGGUUGGGUUUUCUUGUUCUGUUUUGUUCGGCAUGGCAUUCAAGAUUCCUUCACAGAAAUCUGUGUUGGGGCAGCAAAAUGCUAUGUGAAUUAUGUCCUCGUGAAGUCACCAUCUGGCCAAUAUUCAUCUUGCUUUGCAAAAUACCAAGGAUAUCCUUCGGCACAGAUGCUGGGCCAGAUCAUCACACACCAGCGACCGCAGUCGUAAACCAACAGGCAAUCAAGUGUAAUUAAUGCACCUGGUACCCGCUUCAGAGUUCCCAACCUGCACAAUGCUUGGCUCUUUUUUUUUUUUUUUUUUUUUUUUUUCUGUAUGUGGGGCUUGGUUUUGUUUCCUUCCCUUUUAGGGUGGGGAGAGAGGUUUGCAGUUUGAAUCAGCUCUCGCAUCUUCAGCAGUAAUUAAGUCACCGUCACGGGGCUGGUAAAAAUGGGAGUGUUUGUGUGUGUUCAAGAAGCUGCAUCACAUGCAAACAAUACAGCACUGAGCAACUUUCUGUGGCUUGAAGAGGCCAUUGUCCUGUGCGCCUGGCAUCCAUUCUGCUGUUGGCACUCACUGGCUUUGGCAGGCCGGCCCCAGCCACUGGUCUCCUAGUGGUUUUGUGCCUGAUGGAAGAAGGGAGGGAUCUCAAACUUGGAAAAACAAACAAUAAAACACCAAGCAGCCCAUCGUCUUCCUGUGAGCAGAAUAUCACAGCCUCCUUCCUCUCUUGCUAUGCUGGGUGCUUUAAAGUGGUGAUGGGAAAGGUGGGGAAGCAUCCUGCCUCUGUGCAAUCGACAUUCUGGGAAGCCGUGAACACUGUCUUUGGACAGAGACCAGCGAGGGUUCGCAAGUGGGACACAGAGGGUGGAGGGGAGUGGAAGCUGCAGAAUAGCCAACAGUGAUGGUGACUGCGGGUGGUGAUGGGGUGCGGGGGUCCGAGGGUCCCUGCAGGCUCCUUCCAUCACAACAGCCAUGUAGGCUGUGGAGUGUGGGAGUCUGGAGAGCCUUGAUCUGGGUUCAGGAACAUGCAGGACAGUGAGCUGGGCUCCUUUGCAGCUUCCCUGCGCUGCACUUAAGUGCUCUCAUGGUGACCUUGCUGUGGGCACCUUAUUCUGAAGCACCGUGUCCCAUUGCCUGAGCGCCGUCUCUGAAGCCUUCUAAUUGCCAGCUCUCUUCAAAUCAAUUCCAUUCAACAGAUGUGCACUGGAUUUCUGCUCCAGAGCCAGGCCCUGAAAGAAGGAGAGGCAGUUAGAUAAAUGAAUCAGAUGUCAUAGGCUUCUGCGUAUAGAAAGCAUUUCCUAGUGUCUGAGAAAGGAGGCAAUAGUUUGAGCUUCAAUCCAGACUCAGGAGCUGAAUCAUCUUGGGCAAGUUCGUUAAACUCUCCAGCCCUCCAUUCUGGGGGCUCAGCAGUAAAAUGGCAAUAAUAGUGCAGAGUUGCUCUAAGAAUUGAGUGAGAUUUUUAUCUAUCUAUUGAUCUCUAUAUAGUUCACACACAUAUAUACAUGCACGCGCACUAAGCCCUCAAGAACCUGUUGUUAUUUUCCCUGCAAUUCAGAUGGAGCCUGAAGUGGUAGUAGGUCAUCUCUGCCUACAGAAGUCCACAAAGGCUUCAUUGAAGAGGAGAGAUUGAGCCAGGUGUUUCUUCUUCCAGUAGACCCGAGAGGAAAAGAGCGUACCAGGGUGGGGAAAUAUGUGUACAGAGUCAGGGAGGCAGGAAAGAGCCCAGCGUGUUCCAGGAACAGCAAGUACACCUGGAGCCCUGGUUUCUGGGGCGGCCUGGGGUCAGAUGGUGGAGGAUAACCCUAGAGAGGCAGUUGGUGGCCAGGUGGACACCCACCGAGGCCCCACCUCUUUCAGAUGGUAGCUGCUCCAAGAACACGCCUCCUCCACCUUCUCUGUGUUGUGUGAUUUCCCCUCUCAUUCUCAAUACUACUCAGACUCACCUUUUCCAUUCAGCCUUUCCUGCUUCCAGGUUCAGUGCAGCCCCUAGCACCACUUGGGACUGGUAAGACGUCAUCUAUCACCUGUCUGGGCUCAGCUUGUAAAGUCCUCCAGGAUGGAGAACUCAUAGAAGGCUCCUCUAGUAACCACAUUUCAAUAGCACUUUGCAAACAGAGGGACUUUUGUAAAGGCACUUGCUUCACCAGGUAGAUUCUUAAUUAGCAGAUGAGGAGUAGUGAUGGGAGAGCAGAACCCAGGUAGAGAUGGGACACCUUUGCUUCCAGUGACCUCAAAUGUGUCAUCAGUCUCUUUGAACCUAGUUUUCUGUAUCACCAAGACAAGGGCCACCUGUUCCUGAGGACGUUCUGAGAAGCAGGGAGGAGGCCCAGGGACUUUGGGAGAAGCGUGCAGCCUAAAGGGAGCCUUUGUUUCCAUAACUGUGGCCGGGAAAGAACUUGUCGGGUUCUUAUGGGCUUGUUUGCCCGCAGGGCUUGGAGUCUCUGAAGCUGCACCUCUUUCCUCUCCUCUCGGGAACAGAGCCCAAGACAGGGCUCUUUUACCAGCCCUAGUGUGUGGGUGUCACACUUCUUCCCCAUUUAUCAGGAGGUGGUAUGUGCAGUGCUAACUCCACAGCUUUGGUGGUGACCCUCACAAACCCUGGCAGGAGGGAGCCUGGGGUCAGAGGGAUUGACACACACCUAUAUCUCCCUCCCAGUAAGUGAGAGAGGUGAGACUGAGAUAGAAGAUUUUCUGACACCAACUCCAGGAUCUUUUUACCAUCCCACUCGGUAAAAAUGCCCACUGGAGCAUCUUUGGAUGCAAAGUGGCACCAGAAGGAAAAGAUAUGUAGAAUCAAGAGCCCCACGGGAACGGAUCAUAAACCUUGCAAGUUUCCAACUUGACCAACUGUUAAGGAGGAGACAGAACAGAGAACAGGGAGAGGAGUGGGGACCCCUUGGUGCGGGUGGAAGAGAACAGCUGGGUGUCAAGUGCAGAACUGGAGGUCUAGCAACAAAGUCUAGACCAGCAGAGAGAGGAAACAGAGGGGCAUGGGAGGAGCAUAUGGGCUGGGUUCAUGGUUGUGAAUGAUCAGUCAUGGCUGAGUCAAUGCUGAGGGAGCAGCCACUGAGUAGAGUUUCAAAAUCCAAAUGGAGCACUGACUUUGCACAAAGCAAAACAGGGUUCCUGACUUCACAAAGAAGAUGCUCUUGCUCUCUCUUUAAUUAUGCUUUCUGUGUCAGGAAGGGUGCCUGGGCAUGAUCAGUAUGAUUCCAGAAUAAACAUCACUGCUGGUCACACCCACACGGGAAGUCUAGAUGGAGAUACAAGACAUGUCUUCACUUCCCCACCGUUUAACCUGUUCUUCUCUGCAGAAUCCACCUGGAAGGGCGGCUAGGAGUCUCACCCUCUCUUGGAAUCUUUGUUUUCUCCUCCUUCACAGCCUUUUUGUCUUUGCAUCCCAGAGGGACUGCCUAACCUCCCUGCCUGAUGACUUUCUGCUGCCUGAAAGCAGUGAUGUUGGAUCUUCCAAGCUUUAGAUCUUUCACAGGAGCAUCCACAACACAAAGAUAUAAUUCCCUUGUUUUCCUCUCUCUCAUUGUAUGACUUCACCAUGCUAUUAUACCUGCGGAAUUCUAUCUAAUACUUGGUUAUAUUAAAGACCUCUGUU
Long non-coding RNA from Delphinapterus leucas (beluga whale), 4467 nucleotides. RefSeq lists it as uncharacterized. The record is from RefSeq and is a predicted model, not a curated record. Lineage: Eukaryota; Metazoa; Chordata; Mammalia; Artiodactyla; Monodontidae.